AUUAGGGUGGCAGAGCCAGGUUAAUGCAAAGGACCUAAGACCCUUGUACUAGAUGUUCAAAUCAUCUCCCUAAUAC
RNAcentral lists this transfer RNA (76 nucleotides) under Mochlus brevicaudis. RNAcentral describes it as "tRNA-Leu". The record is from RNAcentral. Lineage: Eukaryota; Metazoa; Chordata; Lepidosauria; Squamata; Scincidae.